Dermacentor andersoni is the source of this 2005-nucleotide non-coding RNA. The record is from RefSeq and is a predicted model, not a curated record. Lineage: Eukaryota; Metazoa; Arthropoda; Arachnida; Ixodida; Ixodidae.
CAUGGUUACUUGUGCGCGCGGGACACGUACGUCAUGCUUGUUUAGUUAGUAUGCCUAUGUUUACAAGAUUAUACGGUCGACAAAGAUAUCCUUACUUCGUAUAGCUGUCCGCUAAUUUUCUAUCGCAAUCGAUGCUUCGCCUUUCGGGCGAAACUUCGUCUUUUUCUUUCUUUCUUUUUUUGAUCGCGCUAGGGAAGGCGUGCGCGAAAACAUCGUUUCCCUUCUUUCUCACGUCUUUCUCUCUCCCAACCCCCUGCCCACCCCUUCUCUAUGGGAGCAGCAAGUGGCAGGGCAACACGGCCGGUCAGGACGCACGCGCUCGCUCUCUGCGAGCGCGUCCAGACUGGCCAUGGUUGUUAUUCACUCGCUUUGCGACUGCGUCGGUUCUACCAACGCCUCCGCCUAUUAUCCGCCUCCUCUCCUCGUCCUGUCUACCAUUUUCUCUGCAUCCCUCUAGACUUGCACGUUAGUAGAACGGUGACCUCUGCAGUUUCAGCAAUGCUUCUGAGUGGGGUCACGGACAAUUACAGCUAUCAAGAGGGUAACGUCGCGAUGCCCAGGCAGCUCCAAAGAGCAAAUGUGUACAUGCGACAUGAUGAAAAGAUCCCAACGAGUUCGCAUGUGUCGCCUUUUCUCUCUGCCACGUACGCUCCUUCCAUGUAUAUACACCCUCUGAACCACUCCCCGACGCGGCCUGCAAGACAGCAGCAGCAGCAGAAAAGUCGAAGGAACAGGCAAAAAAAGCUUGCAGAUCCCGCGCACUGUGUGAAUCGACUGGAGCCGCCGUAUCUCGCCGUUCAAGAUAUGCGUACUCGAAGAAAAAGAAAGAGGCUUUAUAUGAGAACGGAUCAAGCGUUCGAGAGUUGGGACAGGGAAAUGAAACACUGGAACGACACUGCUUAAAUUGAAGCACAGUGUGCGAAUGACCUGCUACGCUUGGAACUGUUAUCACCAUUCGGGAAGAAAUCAGAUGAAAAAACAAAACUGUAAAUGCCUGUAUGAUAUACGUCUGGUGCAAUGUAAGAAUGGAUUGUGCGUGGCGCUUCACCGCAUGUGGACUAGAGUAGAUCUAGGAACAUCAGACAAGAAGCCACGUAUGGGAAACCCUGCGGAUAGCCCACAUGUAAGUUGUUCCUCAAUUUUUCUGUUGUUGCAUUUUCGUAGUUUACGUGUAAUACUUUGUCACCGCGGUCUCGACGUUAUGUAUACCUAUACAUUUGUCUCGUUGCAAUCUGCGUGCUAUUUUGUUUGUGCAACUGUGUGUUGUAUUCAUUUAUCGCGCUGCCUGGAUGUUUUUUUUUUUUCAAUGAUAUUCUGAGCCAAGUCAGUAAAUCUAUCCUUCCUGUCCUCAUGUUUCCUUGGGCGACUCUAAAGCGUAUCUCAGAGGAAUAUUUAGCUUCAGAUUCCCGCAUGGAACAGAUGGUGAGUGACAUGCUGUGUUUUCUUUUUAGAGAAACUAUGUAUUCGUGUUUAAUUCUUGGUUGAUUUUCAUAUUGUCAUUCAUACAAUACCGCAGCCAUAUGCGGUAUUUAUAAAACGAGAGCGAUCAUAUUUCUUAUCCUGACCAUUAUUUGUUACAGACCAUGAUAACCACGUAUUUGGAUGUCUGGUUUAACUCUACAUGCGCUGGUUCGUGCAGGUGAACUUUUUUUCCAGAUACGGAGGAACGGACAUCGGUCAUGCCGUACGCACUCUUCUGCAGGGCAUAAUGAAGCUGCACUGCAGUUCAGCUGGAAAGGGUCGCAGGGGAGGAAGCACACCUUCGUGAAGUUCACGGCCAUCACGAAUCUCAUUCUAACAUCUGUGAGGAGCACCUUCCCAGGCUCUUCACUGGCAUCAGUGGCUGGAGUCACGAAACGCUGGUUAGUCGGAGCAGCUGACAGGGAUGGAGGCCGGAACGAGAGAAGGCACCGUGACCCCGCUUCAAGCCCACCAUGAACUCGCGUUUGAAACUUUUGUGAACUUGUGGGUGUAUAUAUCCCAGACAAAUACAAGAAAUAAAGAC